CUACGGGUUGCUCCAGUUAGGGAUAUUCGGCAAUGGGGGAAACCCUGACCGAGCAAUGCCGCGUGAAUGAAGAAGUAUUUCGAUAUGUAAAGUUCUGUUGUUAAGGAAGAAAGGUACGAAUAGGAAAUGAUUCGUAAUUGACGGUACUUAACCAGAAAGCCCCUGCAAACUACGUGCCAGCAGCAGCGGUAAUACGUAGGGGGCGAGCGUUAUCCGGAAUUAUUGGGCGUAAAGGGGUGCGUAGGCGGCCUGUCAAGUCCGAGUUGAAAGCCCACGGCUUAACCGUGGAGGGUGCUCGGAAACUGAUAGGCUUGAAUCCAGAAGAGGCAAGUGGAAUUCUAUGUGGAGCGGUGGAAUGCGUAGAUAUAUGGAGGAACACCAGUGGCGAAGGCGGCUUGCUGGGCUGGUAUUGACGCUGAUGCACGAAAGCGUGGGGAGCAAACAGGAUUAGAUACCCGCGUAGUC
RNAcentral lists this ribosomal RNA (465 nucleotides) under uncultured bacterium. RNAcentral's name for it is "partial 16S ribosomal RNA". It matches the Rfam family "Bacterial small subunit ribosomal RNA", at positions 339 to 795 of the family's 1533-position model. The record is from RNAcentral.